RNAcentral lists this unclassified non-coding RNA (330 nucleotides) under soil metagenome. Its description in RNAcentral is "partial contains 5.8S ribosomal RNA, internal transcribed spacer 2, and large subunit ribosomal RNA". The stretch from base 1 to 119 matches the Rfam family "5.8S ribosomal RNA", at positions 35 to 154 of the family's 154-position model. The record is from RNAcentral.
GAUGAAGAACGCAGCGAAAUGCGAUACGUAAUGUGAAUUGCAAAUUCAGUGAAUCAUCGAAUCUUUGAACGCACAUUGCGCCCCCUGGUAUUCCGGGGGGCAUGCCUGUUCGAGCGUCAUUUCACCACUCAAGCCUCGCUUGGUAUUGGGCAACGCGGUCCGCCGCGUGCCUCAAUUCGACCGGCUGGGUCUUCUGUCCCCUAAGCGUUGUGGAAACUAUUCGCUAAAGGGUGUUCGGGAGGCUACGCCGUAAAACAACCCCAUUUCUCAGGUUGACCUCGGAUCAGGUAGGGAUACCCGCUGAACUUAAGCAUAUCAAUAAGCGGAGGA